RNAcentral lists this long non-coding RNA (270 nucleotides) under Elaeis guineensis (African oil palm). Its description in RNAcentral is "long non-coding RNA (EGUI_LNC015971)". The record is from RNAcentral. Lineage: Eukaryota; Viridiplantae; Streptophyta; Magnoliopsida; Arecales; Arecaceae.
GGAUGCAAAUCUGAUCAAAUGUUGAAGAUAUGAUUCAGGAUAUUGUUGUAACAAAUCAUCAGAUGCAAAAGCUCGAUCCAAUCGCUCCCAAACUCUAGAAGUUCCAGAUUGAUUAUUACACUAAGUAAAUCUAGAACCCUCAUACCCCAGAUCAAUUAAACCAGUUGAAGAUGUAAACUGAUGAAAUUCCCUAACACCUCUAUUCAUAUGAAAAGGUUUACCACCCAACUUGUCGUAAGGAGAAAAAAUACAAUUGAAAUCACCCAUAAA